This 970-nucleotide ribosomal RNA is filed under the name uncultured bacterium. Its description in RNAcentral is "bacterial SSU rRNA". It matches the Rfam family "Bacterial small subunit ribosomal RNA", at positions 110 to 1099 of the family's 1533-position model. The record is from RNAcentral.
GUAAUAUAUAGAUAACGUGCCUCUUAGUUUGGGAUAGCCAUUGGAAACGAUGAUUAAUACCGGAUACUCCUUCUAACUCUAAUGUUAGUCGGGAAAGUUUUUCGCUAAGAGAUCGGUCUAUAUCCCAUCAGUUAGUUGGUAAGGUAACGGCUUACCAAGGCAAUGACGGGUAGCGGGUUUGAGAGGAUGAUCCGCCACACUGGUACUGAGACACGGACCAGACUCCUACGGGAGGCAGCAGUGAGGAAUAUUGCACAAUGGGGGAAACCCUGAUGCAGCAACGCCGCGUGGAGGAUGACGCAUUUCGGUGUGUAAACUCCUUUUAUGAGUCAAGAAAAUGACGGUAGCUCAUGAAUAAGCACCGGCUAACUCCGUGCCAGCAGCCGCGGUAAUACGGAGGGUGCAAGCGUUACUCGGAAUCACUGGGCGUAAAGGACGCGUAGGCGGGAUGCCAAGUCUGAUGUGAAAUCCUAUGGCUUAACCAUAGAACUGCAUUGGAAACUGGUAACCUAGAGUAUGGGAGGGGGAGAUGGAAUUAGUGGUGUAGGGGUAAAAUCCGUAGAUAUCACUAGGAAUACCGAAAGCGAAGGCGAUCUCCUGGAACAUAACUGACGCUAAGGCGUGAAAGCGUGGGGAGCAAACGGGAUUAGAUACCCCGGUAGUCCACGCCCUAAACGAUGAACACUAGUCGUCGCUCUGCUUGUCAGGGCGGUGAUGCACUUAACAGAUUAAGUGUUCCGCCUGGGGAGUACGGUCGCAAGAUUAAAACUCAAAGGAAUAGACGGGGACCCGCACAAGUGGUGGAGCAUGUGGUUUAAUUCGAAGAUACGCGAAGAACCUUACCUAGCCUUGACACUGAUAGAAUACCCUAGAGAUAGAGUAGUGCCUUUCGGGGAACUUGAAAACAGGUGCUGCACGGCUGUCGUCAGCUCGUGUCGUGAGAUGUUGGGUUAAGUCCCGCAACGAGCGC